Clupea harengus (Atlantic herring) is the source of this 596-nucleotide long non-coding RNA. NCBI's taxonomy places the organism in Eukaryota, Metazoa, Chordata, Actinopteri, Clupeiformes, Clupeidae. The record is from Ensembl.
UUGUGGUUAGGCCUUCAAUGAUGAUUUGUUUAGUGAGAAAAUAGGUAAGCUUCGUAAUGUGAGUGAGAAGCGAUCGGAAAAACAGGCAGACACAAAGUAUAAACAGUGAACUAAAACAUUAUUUAAGGAUGGAUUAUUUUUUCGGAUUUAUAUAAUUAAUGAUGUGUUAGGUGAGGUUAUGUGUCAUGUUGCAAUAUGAUUAAUGAUGUGUUAGGUGAGGUUAUGUGUCAUGUUGCAUGUUGUAAUAUGAUGAAUGAUGUGUUAGGUGAGGUUAUGUGUCAUGUUGCAUGUUGUAAUAUGAUUAAUGAUGUGUUAGGUGAGGUUAUGUGUCAUGCUGCAUGUUGUAAUAUAAUUAAUCAUGUGUUAGGUGAGGUUAUGUGUCAUGUUGCAUGUGUGUGUGGGGGGCGCCAGGGGUGAAGCUUGCCCUGUGCAUGUUUACCAUUGGCCAGCAACCCUUAGGCUUAUUGGUUAAGAAAUUAGUAAAUUCAGGUAUUAGGGAUUUUUAUUGGUUGGCGGGGAGAGACACGUGGGGAAGCAGAGACAGAGAAGGAGAGAAGCGAGGACGACGAGAGAGAAGUAGAGAAAAACACCUGUGC